AUGUGUCACACUAAAUCUGGACUUUUGUACCUAUCAAAAUUGGCUUUUCUGAGCCCACCUGCAAAAAAUGGAAACAAGCGCCGUGUAAUGAGUACUAUAAUAGCUCGCAGUGCAGGCAUUAUGGCCUUAGUGCGUUCUGUGAUUGAUAUUCUAGCCUUAUGUAAUUUGUUCUGGUAUCUCUGUUUAGAUUUCUCCGUUCUCAAGAACAACAGACUCCAUGAAAACAGAAGGCCAGUUGGAAAGGCAGUCAGACUAAGUGGAAUUCUGUUCUUCAGUAGUCCAAGCUGUGUCUCUUCACCGUCGUUGCUACAGAUUAAUCAUCACAGGCAUCUCCUGAGGAAAUUCUGUAAUAGUGACAGGAUGGGGGGUGGAGGGGGGGGUGAGUAG
Molecule: long non-coding RNA, 387 nt
Filed under: Struthio camelus australis
Lineage: Eukaryota; Metazoa; Chordata; Aves; Struthioniformes; Struthionidae
Description: lncRNA (ENSSCUG00000016326.1)
Source: RNAcentral